AAAUACUCCUGACUGACCGAUAGUGAACCAGUACCGUGAGGGAAAGGCGAAAAGAACCCCGGCGAGGGGAGUGAAAAAGAACCUGAAACCGUGUACGUACAAGCAGUGGGAGCACCCUUUGGGGUGUGACUGCGUACCUUUUGUAUAAUGGGUCAGCGACUUAUAUUCUGUAGCAAGGUUAACCGAAUAGGGGAGCCGGAGGGAAACCGAGUCUUAAUUGGGCGUUAAGUUGCAGGGUAUAGACCCGAAACCCGGUGAUCUAGCCAUGGGCAGGUUGAAGGUUGGGUAACACUAACUGGAGGACCGAACCGACUAAUGUUGAAAAAUUAGCGGAUGACCUGUGGCUGGGGGUGAAAGGCCAAUCAAACCGGGAGAUAGCUGGUUCUCCCCGAAAGCUAUUUAGGUAGCGCCUCGUGAAUUCAUCUCCGGGGGUAGAGCACUGUUUCGGCUAGGGGGCCAUCCCGGCUUACCAACCCGAUGCAAACUGCGAAUACCGGAGAAUGUUAUCACGGGAGACACACGGCGGGUGCUAACGUCCGUCGUGAAGAGGGAAACAACCCAGACCGCCAGCUAAGGUCCCAAAGUCAUGGUUAAGUGGGAAACGAUGUGGGAAGGCCCAGACAGCCAGGAUGUUGGCUUAGAAGCAGCCAUCAUUUAAAGAAAGCGUAAUAGCUCACUGGUCGAGUCGGCCUGCGCGGAAGAUGUAACGGGGCUAAACCAUGCACCGAAGCUGCGGCAGCGACGCUGAUGCGUUGUUGGGUAGGGGAGCGUUCUGUAAGCCUGUGAAGGUGGCCUGUGAGGGUUGCUGGAGGUAUCAGAAGUGCGAAUGCUGACAUAAGUAACGAUAAAGCGGGUGAAAAGCCCGCUCGCCGGAAGACCAAGGGUUCCUGUCCAACGUUAAUCGGGGCAGGGUGAGUCGACCCCUAAGGCGAGGCCGAAAGGCGUAGUCGAUGGGAAACGGGUUAAUAUUCCCGUACUUGGUGUUACUGCGAAGGGGGGACGGAGAAGGCUAUGUUGGCCGGGCGACGGUUGUCCCGGUUUAAGCGUGUAGGUGUGUGUUCCAGGUAAAUCCGGUUCACUUUAACACUGAGGCGUGAUGACGAGGCACUACGGUGCUGAAGCAACAAAUGCCCUGCUUCCAGGAAAAGCCUCUAAGCAUCAGGUAACAUCAAAUCGUACCCCAAACCGACACAGGUGGUCAGGUAGAGAAUACCAAGGCGCUUGAGAGAACUCGGGUGAAGGAACUAGGCAAAAUGGUGCCGUAACUUCGGGAGAAGGCACGCUGACAUGUAGGUGAAGUGAUUUACUCAUGGAGCUGAAGUCAGUCGAAGAUACCAGCUGGCUGCAACUGUUUAUUAAAAACACAGCACUGUGCAAACACGAAAGUGGACGUAUACGGUGUGACGCCUGCCCGGUGCCGGAAGGUUAAUUGAUGGGGUCAGCGCAAGCGAAGCUCCUGAUCGAAGCCCCGGUAAACGGCGGCCGUAACUAUAACGGUCCUAAGGUAGCGAAAUUCCUUGUCGGGUAAGUUCCGACCUGCACGAAUGGCGUAAUGAUGGCCAGGCUGUCUCCACCCGAGACUCAGUGAAAUUGAACUCGCUGUGAAGAUGCAGUGUACCCGCGGCAAGACGGAAAGACCCCGUGAACCUUUACUAUAGCUUGACACUGAACAUUGAGCCUUGAUGUGUAGGAUAGGUGGGAGGCUUUGAAGUGUGGACGCCAGUCUGCAUGGAGCCG
This 1737-nucleotide ribosomal RNA is filed under the name Salmonella enterica. Its description in RNAcentral is "bacterial LSU rRNA". It matches the Rfam family "Bacterial large subunit ribosomal RNA", at positions 468 to 2188 of the family's 2925-position model. The record is from RNAcentral. Lineage: Bacteria; Pseudomonadati; Pseudomonadota; Gammaproteobacteria; Enterobacterales; Enterobacteriaceae.